GAUGAACGCUGGCGGCGUGCCUAAUACAUGCAAGUCGAGCGAACAGACGAGGAGCUUGCUCCUCUGACGUUAGCGGCGGACGGGUGAGUAACACGUGGAUAACCUACCUAUAAGACUGGGAUAACUUCGGGAAACCGGAGCUAAUACCGGAUAAUAUAUUGAACCGCAUGGUUCAAUAGUGAAAGACGGUUUUGCUGUCACUUAUAGAUGGAUCCGCGCCGCAUUAGCUAGUUGGUAAGGUAACGGCUUACCAAGGCAACGAUGCGUAGCCGACCUGAGAGGGUGAUCGGCCACACUGGAACUGAGACACGGUCCAGACUCCUACGGGAGGCAGCAGUAGGGAAUAUUCCGCAAUGGGCGAAAGCCUGACGGAGCAACGCCGCGUGAGUGAUGAAGGUCUUCGGAUCGUAAAACUCUGUUAUUAGGGAAGAAAAAAUGUGUAAGUAACUAUGCACGUCUUGACGGUACCUAAUCAGAAAGCAACGGCUAACUACGUG
This 497-nucleotide ribosomal RNA is filed under the name uncultured bacterium. RNAcentral describes it as "partial 16S ribosomal RNA". It matches the Rfam family "Bacterial small subunit ribosomal RNA", at positions 28 to 507 of the family's 1533-position model. The record is from RNAcentral.